Molecule: ribosomal RNA, 497 nt
Filed under: uncultured bacterium
Lineage: Bacteria
Description: partial 16S ribosomal RNA
Rfam family: Bacterial small subunit ribosomal RNA
Source: RNAcentral
GAUGAACGCUGGCGGCGUGCCUAAUACAUGCAAGUCGAGCGAACAGAUGAGGAGCUUGCUCCUCUGACGUUAGCGUCGGACGGGUGAGUAACACGUGGAUAACCUACCUAUAAGACUGGGAUAACUUCGGGAAACCGGAGCUAAUACCGGAUAAUAUAUUGAACCGCAUGGUUCAAUAGUGAAAGACGGUUUUGCUGUCACUUAUAGAUGGAUCCGCGCCGCAUUAGCUAGUUGGUAAGGUAACGGCUUACCAAGGCAACGAUGCGUAGCCGACCUGAGAGGGUGAUCGGCCACACUGGAACUGAGACACGGUCCAGACUCCUACGGGAGGCAGCAGUAGGGAAUCUUCCGCAAUGGGCGAAAGCCUGACGGAGCAACGCCGCGUGAGUGAUGAAGGUCUUCGGAUCGUAAAACUCUGUUAUUGGGGAAGAACAAAUGUGUAAGUAACUAUGCACGUCUUGACGGUACCUAAUCAGAAAGCCACGGCUAACUACGUG